Molecule: long non-coding RNA, 495 nt
Organism: Equus quagga
Lineage: Eukaryota; Metazoa; Chordata; Mammalia; Perissodactyla; Equidae
Exons: 3
Source: RefSeq, a predicted model, not a curated record
UUUGGAAGCAUCAAGAAGAUUCUCUCUUGCCUCCCAGAUUUGAUGGGGCAGCAGAGUUGAUGAUAACCUCUCAAAAUCCCAUGUGUCUGGGUUGAGGUGAAAUGGCCAAGCCCUGUCUUCCAGAUGCUUUGCCUGGAAUGGAGCCCUGCUGUCCUUGUGCCCCCACCUGUUUGUUGCCUCAUGCCAAGCUUGUCCUGACACAGUGGAGCUUUCAAGGAAAUAAAAAGACACCCUGAGGUUUACACUGCACACAUUUGGGAAAAUGAUGGACCGAAACAGAACUGCUUUGCAGGCUUUUUCUUGGAGACCUAAGACCCCCACGAAUGAAUGACUUCCAGGCCCUCAACAAACUGCUAAUUACUGGCUGAACACAGAAGACUCCCAGACCCCAAAGGAUGGUGGGGCUGCAAGAAGAAGCAGUCUGAGUCCCUGCUCAUCAUAUGGACAAAAGCUGCCUUCUCAUCAGAAACACCUAAAUUGGACAAUUAUAUGAUU